CUGCCGCUCCAUGCGGGGGGAAAGGGGGGAAGGCAAGCGCUGGGGACCCUGAACCCCGCCUUGGCUCCCGGGGACGAGGCGGACGAGGAGGAGGUGGAGGACACGGAGGAGGAGCCGCUGUCUUUGCGGGAGUCGCCACCGCCGGAGCCCUUGGAGUAGGGCUUGAAGCUGGAUUUGUCCUCGGCCGGGGCGUCUCCCAGCUGCUUGAGCGCGGCGGACGCGGAGCCGGCGCCUGGGGCCGAGCGGCCGGGGUCCUUGUCUGCUCCCAGUCCGUUGGCCGCGGCCGCUACGGAGUUGAGCUUGGACGAGGGCGGCGGGUCGGGCUUGCCGAUCUGCGAGCAGGUCUGGGCCAGCAGCGCCAAUGGACUCUUCUUGGCGUCCAGCUGUGGGCGACAGAGGCAAGGGGAGAGGCGAGGGGGUGAGAUUCGGAGGCCGGCGGGGCGGGCGCGGGGGGGGGGGCGAGGAGGGCCUCGGGACGACCACUGUGGACAGAGGGCGAGGGCCGGGCCCGGGCUCGGGCCCGGGCGGGGCAGCACGGAAAGCACCCCGCUUUUACGGCCAGGCGAUACCGGCGUGCGUCACGGGCCCGGGGAACGGGGCAGUGGAAGGGGAUCGCCAAGGGCCGCCGCGGGAGAAGGUGGUGGCUUAACGCACUGGGCCACAGUGCCGCCCCGCGCGUGUUCCCAGCAGCUCCCGCUCAUCAGCGGCUUCACUGAUUUGAGUGACUUGCAGCCAGCCUUGGAACUGUGUCAUCUCACGCCAUCACAGCAAGAAGAAGGGUGAGUACCGUACAGAAAGAACUUUCCAGAGAGACGGCGAGAGGCAUCGCACUCUCAGAAUUUGUAUCACAGUGUGCUCCAAUUGUUCUAUUUUUGGUUGCUGUUGCCACUUUCUCACUGUCUAAUUUAUAAGUUAAACUUUAUCGUAGAUUAUAUAUGAACAUGCUUUUAAAAAUUCAUGGAAAAUGGAGUGAAAAGAUAAAUUCGUCUUCGUGCAAAAAAUUUGGAAUCUAUAGUUUUUCAUGUCACACAUUUUCCCAUGAACUUUGUGAAGUCCCCUUGUAUCCUUGUAUUGAUAGGAAAAAGCAUGCUAUUUGUAGAGUACUGUCUGUGGGUUCAGGCAUUCCCUCGUGAUCUUGAAACAUAUCCCCCUUGGAUAAGGGGGCGAGGCGCCCCACCCCACAUCUUGGCUUUGCAUUUGGGGAUGGUUUGUCCUGGGGGCUCGGCUAUAGGUUUGGUCUUUCAGUUGCCUGGGAGCCCCAGGUGCUAACAGGUGCAUGCCUGCUGGAGGGAGCAAGGGCCCCCGACGCUGCAGAGGGGAUCUGCUGAGCCAGGAGAGAGCCGGGCUGAACAGACAGAAGCAGGAAGGGCUGGCGCCCAGCUGGUGGGUCAGGGUGUUGCUCACCCCCUCCCACAAGUGCAGAAAAUGCCCUGAGUUACUUCAAUUACAUGGAUGAGUGGGGAGAGCCAAGGGCACAACUCUCACAGCCACCUGCUCACGCUGAAUGCGGCUGAUCUCCCCCACCCCGCCCCAGUCUGCUUCAGCAGGCACUGCUGACCUUGGGCGGCGUGUGGCUAACGCAGGUGUUAACCUUAAUGCCAUUCACUUGGGCCUGUCAUUAGCGCCCAUGCCUGUGACAGGUGUUUGUUGUGGCCCUGGCAGGGAGGUCAGCCCCUUGGAGUUCCCCAAUCUAAAGGCGACACUUGAGGGCUGGUAAAGAGCCAGGCUCAAGCUGGGGUCAGGGCGGGCUACUGGGAGUGCUCAGAGCUGGGAAGAAGUCUCU
This 1783-nucleotide long non-coding RNA is filed under the name Oryctolagus cuniculus (rabbit). RNAcentral's name for it is "lncRNA (ENSOCUG00000038015.1)". The record is from RNAcentral. Lineage: Eukaryota; Metazoa; Chordata; Mammalia; Lagomorpha; Leporidae.